Molecule: ribosomal RNA, 292 nt
Filed under: uncultured bacterium
Lineage: Bacteria
Description: partial 16S ribosomal RNA
Rfam family: Bacterial small subunit ribosomal RNA
Source: RNAcentral
GUGUCAGCCGCCGCGGUAAGACAGAGGUUGCAAACGUUGUUCGGAAUUACUGGGCAUAAAGCGCACGUAGGUGGUCCGCUAAGUCGUGUGUGAAAUGCCCCGGCUCAACCGGGGAAUUGCGCACGAUACUGGCGGGCUUGAGGUCGGGAGGGGUGAGUGGAACUCCUGGUGGAGCGGUGAAAUGCGUAGAUAUCAGGAGGAACACCGGUGGCGAAAGCGGCUCACUGGCCCGAAUCUGACACUGAGGUGCGAAAGCUAGGGUAGCAAACGGGAUUAGAAACCCCGGUAGUCC